Molecule: ribosomal RNA, 432 nt
Filed under: uncultured bacterium
Lineage: Bacteria
Description: partial 16S ribosomal RNA
Rfam family: Bacterial small subunit ribosomal RNA
Source: RNAcentral
AACGAACGCUGGCGGCAUGCCUAACACAUGCAAGUCGAACGAGACCUUCGGGUCUAGUGGCGCACGGGUGCGUAACGCGUGGGAACCUGCCCUUAGGUUCGGAAUAACUCCCCGAAAGGGGUGCUAAUACCGGAUAAUGUCUUCGGACCAAAGAUUUAUCGCCUUUGGAUGGGCCCGCGUUGGAUUAGCUAGUUGGUAGGGUAAAAGCCUACCAAGGCGACGAUCCAUAGCUGGUCUGAGAGGAUGAUCAGCCACCCUGGGACUGAGACACGGCCCAGACUCCUACGGGAGGCAGCAGUGGGGAAUAUUGGACAAUGGGCGAAAGCCUGAUCCAGCAAUGCCGGGUGAGUGAUGAAGGCCUUAGGGUUGUAAAGCUCUUUUACCCGGGAUGAUAAUGACAGUACCGGGAGAAUAAGCCCCGGCUAACUCCGU